GCUAGGCAGUUGGAGAAGACAAGUCCUCUGAGUGACACUAAUGCUAGACACAUUGCUACACUAACAUCAAUACAACAUUGUCUUGUGUAUAGGGAACACAAUGUUUACUUGCUAUUAUAUGUGGACAACAUAACUCCCAAUGGAAUUUGAACAAUCCCAAAAUCCAUUUAGUUUUUUCAAAGCUUUAUUAUUAUUUUUUUCUGUCUUCAGAAUUCAUUUGUGACCAGAUUUUGAAUUAGUUUCUAGAUAAUUUCUGGGUUCACAGAGAGUAAACCCAUUACAGGCCUAAUGGAAGUCAGAUGCUAUACACUAAAGUGGUGUGAAAUUGAUUUUAUAGACUUCUUUAAAAUAUUUCUAAACAAGGAGACUGGAACAGAGUUGUUGGACAUUGGCAUGCCUUUGAUUUAGUCCAAAUUGCCAAUAUUCUUUUAAAUGGCAGCACAGGCUGCACUCAAAUGCUCCCAUAUGUAUCUGAUUUCUGUUUAAACCUAUUAGCAACUGAUUUUGCUGUGAGUUGCCUCAAGCCAUGCAACCCUAUCAGAGGACAUCAUCACUGAUGUUUCUUACAGUACAGUGGUAAGUAUUAUAAAUUGUCUAGCAUGGUCUUAGUUGGAAAUGAUUAUUUGAAACAAACUGGUGACCAGGAGAUGCUGGCUCAGUCAUAUUGGUGAAUGGAUAGAUGAGAUGAAUUAAUUGACUGAUGUUUUGGGUCUCCAGCAUUCGUUUUUUCCACUAACUUACAGUGGGGGGAAAUAAGUAUUGAUCUUUUUUUUUUCAGUAAAUAUAUUUCCAAUGAGGCUAUUCACAUGAAAUUUUCAUCAGACAUCAGUAUUAAUUCAAGAAAUCCUCAAAUACAAAGAAAUCAUUACAUUAAAGUCCAUAAAUAAAGUUAUGUGGUGUAAUAUUUGGUAAUAUAUUACACCACAAUAUAUAAUAUAUGGUGCUUGAAAAUUUGUGAACACUUUAGAAUUUUCUCCGGAUUCUAAUCUCACCUUCAAAUUAACUGUUAAUCCUAGAGGUUCACAUAGUUUUUCUACCCACAGAUAUGUAAUGUUGGCUCGUUAUCCUCAAUAAAUAAAUAUUCAAUAAUAUUUUUGUCUCAUUUGUUUAAUUGGUUCUCUUUAUCUACUUUUAGGGCUUGUGUGAAAAUUUGAUGAUCUUUUAGGUCACAUUUAUUCAGAAAUAUAGAAAUUUCGAAAGGUUUCACAAACUUUCAAGUACCACUGUAUAUAUAAAUCCACAUGUCUAAGUGUGAACAAUGAAAGCUUUAAAAAUAGAUUACAUAGCCUACCAGCCUGACCUACUUAUUUACCAUGUUGCACAGUCCUAGCAAUAUUACACAGCACAUAGAUGAUUGCACAGUUUCCUGAACCUCGCUGUUUAAAACCUUAAUUGAAGCUGGCACAAAUAAGUUCUUAGCAGCUUAGUGAAUCCUUACUUUUCUGGUGCUGCAGAAUUUUACUGCCCACAGAAAGGUGAAUCACCUUAUACCUCUCAAUAGCCAAUGACUUAAUAGCUAAAGUGGCCAUCAAGGUGAGCAAGAAGGACCUUCAUCCAACUUUUUCCAUUUACUUUUCUUCAAAGUGUGCUCUGAGUCAGGCUCUAAGCUGCAGUUAAAAAACAAAACAAAACAAAACAUUAAUUCCAACUGUUGUGCCAGGAACCGCACCAAGUUUAACAACACGCACAUGCACUGUAUGAAAGUAGAAGCAAUAUUAAAACGUCUGAACAUAUGCCCAAUGUAUGGCUAUUGCCGCAGGGUUAGGAUUAGGUUAUGGUUAGGUAACAAAAUGGUUUGUUACUAAACAUUUUACCUUAAAACAAUUAUUUGCAGCAGGAAAUGUCAUCUGCUUUCAUCUUUAUCAGAAUUUGGCUACUUUUCAUCAGCCUGUUGUUCAGUAUUUCUUUGUCACUCAUUGAUUGAUCUAAUAACACAACCCUUCCUGUCCAUAUUCUUUUGAGGGGAGGUUGCAGGCAGGGCCUCUUUUUUUUUUGAAGGUUUUUACUUAUUUUUUAUCAAAAAUAUAUCAAAAACAACCCCACUCCCCACCUAUCCCUCAAUCCUUG
This is a long non-coding RNA of Ictalurus punctatus (channel catfish), 2067 nucleotides long. Lineage: Eukaryota; Metazoa; Chordata; Actinopteri; Siluriformes; Ictaluridae. The record is from Ensembl.